CCUACGGGCGGCAGCAGUGAGGAAUAUUGGUCAAUGGGCGAGAGCCUGAACCAGCCAAGUCGCGUGAGGGAGUACUGCCCUAUGGGUUGUAAACCUCUUUUGUCGGGGAGCAAAAGCCGGACGUGUCCGGCUGUGAGAGUACCCGAAGAAAAAGCAUCGGCUAACUCCGGGCCAGCAGCCGCGGUAAUACGGAGGAUGCGAGCGUUAUCCGGAUGUAUUGGGUUUAAAGGGUGCGCAGGCGGAGGCACAAGUCAGCGGGAAAAUCGCGGGGCUCAACCCCGCUCCGCCGUUGAAACUGUGUCCCUUAAGUGCGCAUAGGGUAGGCGGAAUGCGUGGUGUAGCGGUGAAAUGCAUAGAUAUCACGCAGAACUCCGAUCGCGAAGGCAGCCUACCGGCGCGCAACUGACGCUCAUGCACGAAAGCGUGGGUAUCGAACAGGAUUAGAUACCCCUGUAGUC
Molecule: ribosomal RNA, 458 nt
Filed under: uncultured bacterium
Lineage: Bacteria
Description: partial 16S ribosomal RNA
Rfam family: Bacterial small subunit ribosomal RNA
Source: RNAcentral